Molecule: long non-coding RNA, 6111 nt
Filed under: Physcomitrium patens
Lineage: Eukaryota; Viridiplantae; Streptophyta; Bryopsida; Funariales; Funariaceae
Description: long non-coding RNA (PPAT_LNC002438)
Source: RNAcentral
AGUUGACAAGAGUGAAGAGGGCUUCACUCUUGCCUCUAUAUAUACUAUCUAACUAGAAGCCACGUGGCGAUGUUCUAUAAGACCUCCAAUAUAUGUUGACUUUCUAGGCCACAUGCCUUUGCUUGCAAGGCAAGUUUUCUAUGGAUGGACCACGUAGUUAGCUUGUUCUUUAAGCUUCCAACAUGCGUGGCACAUGGCUAACUUGCUGACCAAGUUUCUAAUCUAAAAGUCAACUAUAGACUCCUAUAAAGUCAAAGCAGUGUCUAUGAAGCUUCUAAGAAGCUUCUCUAGAAGAUAUUACACAAUUAACCUACUUUUACAUACUUUUAUCUAUUCAUAUAGGUAAUUAUAUGUAUGUCCGUGACAUUACCCCCCCUUCUAGGGACGAGUUCCACGAGGAGCGGUGAUUAUAUAUUGAGAAAAUCUAAUAUGCGGUGAAUUGUAUUUGCUACAUACUCUGAUCUUUGUUCUCUUCGAAGAUAGUUGAUGGGUCCUCUUAGCCAUCGAUAGUGUCCCAUUCCAGGGCGAGAAGACCACCCUGUUAUUUGAUCACUGUUGAGGCCUUCAUAACUUCCUUCAAAUAAUAUAUUUGAAACACCAUCAGGAGUCGUUCCUAUCUCCAAUAAUAUCACCAAACAUCGAGAAUCUCUUCCAAGGUCGUGAUACCAAACGCGUUGUAUCUCACCAUCUAUUCGAGGAAGAACAUGUCGUUCUUGAGGGUCUUCAUCUCGGUUGCGUCGUCUUGAAGGUUGUGACAAUCGCAAUGUCUCAUCCGGUAAGUCAGCAAACGAAGGUUCUUGAGUUGAAUCCGCUGGUUGUUGGCUCUCCAUCUAAUUAGCGUCACAAAAUGCAAAGAAAUUACAAACAAGGAUAGGAAAUUGAAUGUUAUCUUGCCUCAAUCUUGUCUCUUUUAUAAGAGAGGUUUUCAUCUUGGUUUUGAUGGAUGUCGUUGAUGAAAAACUUUGACUUUAGCUGAUGCAUUUACUAGAUUCCUGGAUGGCUCCCAUGUGCGCUCACUAAUAUCAUAUCCGCACCAAUGAACAAGAUAUUCCAGCUUAUUUCGGCGCCGCCUUGAGUCUAAUAUCUCUUCCACCUCAAAUUCUUCAUUAUUAUCUACUUCUAUAGGAGGCGGUGGCAUUUGUCUUCUUCCUUGUAUAUCCACUGUCUUAUAUGGUUCAAGAAGAGACACGUAGAAUACAGGAUGGAUCUUCAUUGACUCCGGUAGAUGUAACCGAUAUGCAACUGGGUUGAUCUGUUCAGAAACAGAAAAGGGGCCAAGCCUACGAUAGUCCAAUUUGUCACAAGGUCGAGUGGUCUUGAUAUUGCGACGAAGUAGCCAUACCUUAUCAUCCACGUUGAGUUGUGGUUGCUCUUUACGAUAUACAUCUGCAUUUAUCUUUUGUCAUUCUUGAGCUUUCUUCAACUGCGCCUUCAUUAUUGCAUGUAACUCUGACAACCGAUUUGCCAUAUCUUCUGCUGCAGGAUUAUCAACUUUUGAAAAAUCAUAAGUAUCAAGUCGUGGAUGAUAGCCAUAAUUGGCAAAGAAAGGUGUUUGUUGCGUGGAGGAAUGUACCGUAUUAUUAUAAGCAAACUCUGCCAAUGGCAGAAGGUUUGUCCAAUCAUCUUGUUGGUAGUUGAUGGUACACCUUAAAUACUAUUCCAAGACUUGGUUUACGCGCUCUGUUUGUCCAUCAGUUUGAGGAUGGAAAGCUGAAGAUAGCUUUAUGUCCACUUUUAAAAUCUUGAAAAGAGUCCUCCAGAAUCUCGACACAAAUUGAGUUCCCCUAUCCGAUAUGAUAUCUUUAGGUAAUCCAUGAUAGCGAUAGAUAUUAUCAAUGAAAAGCUUAGCUGUUUCUUCACUUGUGAUAGAUUUUGUACAUGGCAUAAAAUGUGCCAUCUUGGUGAAACGAUCUACUAUCACAAAUAUAGAAUCAUAAGAUCUUGAGUUUGGAAGAUCUGUGAUGAAAUCCAUAGAAACAGAAGACCAUGGUUGUUCUGGUAUAGGUAAUGGCUGAAGAAGUCCGUAAGGUCGAUGUCGAGGAAUUUUUGAUCUUGAACAAAUAUCACAUGAUUGUACAAAGUCUUUGACUGACUUCCGAAUUUGUGGCCACCAAAAAUCUCUUGAUAUGAGUUCCAGAGUCUUAUUAUAUCCAAAGUGCCCUGCUGCUGGAAAGUCAUGACGUGCUUGAAGAACACGCAAACGUGCUUUUCCUUCUGGAACAUAUAGGCGUCCUUCAAAAUAUAAUAGAUUAUUCUUGAACUCGAACUUAGAAGAAUCAUGAGACUUGGAAGAAUUAUUCUCGAUAUCAUGAACAAGAGGGUCUGAGGACAUACUGGACUGGAUUUGCUUGAGAAAAGUUGAAUCAACAGUCAAUGUUGAUUUCACUGCUCGGAGAUGAAAUUGCUCCGGUUUCAAGAGGACCGUUCUUUGUUGCUCAAAAGCUGCAUCUCCUUCUUUUGGUACAAAAUAAGAACGUCUAGACAGGGCAUCGGACAAACCUUGUUGUUUUCCUGGCCGAUAAGUGAUAAUGAAGUCGAAUCUUGACAAAGACAUACUCCAACGAGCUUGACGACGAUUCAACACGCGUGCUGACAUGAAAUACUCGAGAUUCUUGUGAUCUGUAUACACAAUGACUGGACUAGAAGCACCUUCUAGAUAAUGACGCCAUUCUUGAAAAGAAUCCACGAUUGCAAGAAGUUCUUUAUUGUGAAUCUCAUAAUUGAUCUCGGCUGCUGAGAAUUUUCUUGAAUGAAAAGCUAUCGGAUGAAGUUUGUCAUCUAUUCCCAUUUGUGAUAAAACUGCACCCAAGGCAAAAUCCGAUGCGUCUGUUUCCAUAAAAAAUACCUUGGAAAAGUCAACACGAUAUAAGACUGGUGCAGAGACAAACGAUGUCUUCAAGGCUUCAAAUGCUGCUUCCGCUUCUUGAUUCCAUUGGAAUUUAUCUUUACUAGUCAAGCGUGUAAGUGGAGCUGCAACUCGUGAGAAGUCUUUGAUGAAGAUCCGAUAGUAAUUGGCAAAUCCCAAGAAACAUUGGACAUCUCUUACAGUCUUUGGAAUCUUCCAAUCCAUGAUUGUUUGGACUUUCUUAGAAUCCAUCAUAAGACCAUCAUUUGAAAUGAUGUAUCCUAAAAAGUCAACUUGAGUAGUGUGAAAUACACACUUUUCUAUCUUGGCGUACAAUCCUGCAUCUCUAAGUUUUUGUAAUACUUGACGAACAUAUAUUUCAUGUACUUCGACAUUCUUAGAAUAGAUCAGGAUAUCGUCUAGGUAGUAGAUGACAAAAUUGUCUAAGAAUUCACGAAAUACAUCAUUCAUGAGAUGUUGAAAAGCAGCUGGUGCAUUCGUGAGUCUUAAAGGCAUGACAUUAUAUUCAAAAUGCCCGUACCUGGUUCGAAACGCAGUCUUCCAUUCAUCUCCUUCUUUGAUCUGUACUAGAUUAUAUGCUCCUCUUAGAUCUAUUUUUGUAUAGAUCUUAGCUUGAUUUAACUGGUCAAGGAGUCCUGAUAUCAAAGGUAAUGGAUACCUAUUCUUGAUUGUGAUCUUGUUGAGUCCUCGAUAGUCAACACACAUUCGUAAAGAUCCAUCUUUUUUCUUUACGAAUAAAAUUGGAGCUCCUGCUAGAGAUUUUGAAUGGCGUAUGAAAUUCUUCGCUAAAUUCUCGUCAAUAUAUGUCUUGAGUUCAGCCAACUCAUCUUGCGAUAAACUGUAAAUUGGUCCAAAUGGUGGCUGACUUCCUUCCUUGAGAUCGAUUGAACAAUCGUAUGGUCGAUGCUCAGGAAGAAUAUCUGCAUUCUUUUUCUCAAAAACAUCUUGAUAAUCCUGAUAUUGACUUGGAAUGCCACUUGAAGUCUUUACGCUUUCAGAAAUAGGUGCAGCAUAAAUAGCAAAAGUUGAUCCUUCUUUUGCUGCGUGUAUAAAUGCUUUUGCACCUAUAAGUGCGGGUUUUACUAUACUAGACUCAUUGUUUUUUACUUGAUUAAUAGAACUGUUACUAAUGCUCCGAGAAAAAUCAAGUUUACGAGAAAUCCAAUCUAUUCGAGGAUUAUACUUUUCUAACCAUGAUAAGCCUAAAAUUACUGGAUUAGAGGGAGAUCUAAUUAUAUUAAAAAUUACGCAACUACUAUGACCAUUUAUUACUACAUCUACAGGAAGUGUUUCGUGAGUUACAUCUCCAGAAGACAACGGACGACCAUCUAUGACUUCUACGUGUACAGGUUUAGUUUUUUGUAUUAAUGAUAUUCUAUGACAUCUAGCAAAUUCUUCAUCUAAAAAACAAGAUGAGGCUCCUGAAUCUACCAAGGCAGAGGCUUUGUAAUUAUUAGGUCCUAAACGCACAUCUAUUAUAAAACAAGGAGAUGGUUCUGAGGAGAAGAUAGGACCUUCAUUAGAAGUUGUAUAAGAUUCCAGCCGCACGGUCCCUAUUGUAGCUGGACGUACUCGUUUUCCGACAUACUGUCUUCUUUGACAGCCGUACUCCUCAUUUUGUAGUUACGUUGCUUCUUUGGACAAUGUUGAGCAGUGUGCUUAGGUUCUCCAUAAUAUAAGCACAAUCCUUGUUAUCGACGACGAGACUUUUCUUGCUCAGUAAGAGGUUUGAAACGUACCGCAUCAAUUUGCAUAUCCUCUACUUCUGAAGGUAUGUGUUGAGGAGAGGUCGGUGUUGCCAUUGAAUUGUAGUAACAUUGAGGCCCACUUGUGCGACUCUCGGAUCGAAAUUCAAAAAGUCGAUUGUCGCACUUCACAGCAAAGUCAAUUGCUUGACUCAAUGUUUGAGGAUCAGGUAAAUUAAGCAUCAAUUUCUUUACCUCAUAUUGUAAUCCGUAGAGAAAUUGACUCACAAGUGCGGCAUCAUCCCACUUGAUAUCAGUUGCAAGUUGUCGAAAUUGCGAAGCAUAUAAUGUUACUGAUCGAUUGCCUUGUCGCAAAAUAUGGAUCUUGUUGGUUGCAACACGAAUUGCAUCAUGUUCUCCAAACAUGGAUCAAAACUCCGCCAAAAAAGCCUCCAGAUUAUCCAAUAUUGGAUCUCGUCGUUCAAGAAAAGAUGAAAACCAUGACAAUGCUGAACUUGAAAGAAGUGUACCAAUGAAUCUAACUUGUGACCCUGGAGUUGGAUAGCUCUGGGGUUGAAGUUCAAUCACUAAUUGGACCUGAUUGAUGAAUCCUCGAAACUUGGAUCUGGUACCAUCAAACUUCUCGGGCAAGGCAACUCUCGGUUCUCUAACACUCGAAGGAUGUUCCAUUCUGGGAGAAGGGACAUGGUUUGGUGCAGAUGUUGAAGCAGCCCCAAUCAUCUCUAUAUCUUCACUUCCUACCAUUCUUGUUGCUCCUUGUGGUAGUAAAUUGAGUUGAUGCAUCGCAAGCAUUAACUCCCUCAAUUGUUCUUGCAUCUGUGCCAUUGCACUCUUCAUUUCAACAAGCUCUGUCAUAGUAGCACUUAGAAAAGAGAAGAUGUCUAGUAACGCUCAAAACAAAUAGAAGAGAGGAAUUGAUAACAAAGAAAAUACUAAGAACAAUAUCAGUUUAAAAGAGGGUAAUCCGCAACUUCUAAUGCGCUUAUGUCUUAUCAAGAAAAAGGGGUAAUCCACUCUUAAUCAAGAAAAGACAAAGCUCUCAUAUUGUAAGUGUACUCUUGUCAAUCUGUCAAGGACAAGAACUCGAUGAAAGCUAAAGAGUAAGUGAAACUUUGCUCAAAGAAAUAGGACAAAAUAGAAAUAUGUAUAUUAAGAAAGAAAUUAGAAUGGCUAUUGCCAAAAUACAAGAAAACUAGAGACCCUUGAAACUAGACUAGAAGCAAGAAAGGAGUUGACAAGAGUGAAGAGGGCUUCACUCUUGCCUCUAUAUAUACUAUCUAACUAGAAGCCACGUGGCGAUGUUCUAUAAGACCUCCAAUAUAUGUUGACUUUCUAGGCCACAUGCCUUUGCUUGCAAGGCAAGUUUUCUAUGGAUGGACCACGUAGUUAGCUUGUUCUUUAAGCUUCCAACAUAUAUGGCACAUGGCUAACUUGUUGACCAAGUUUCUAACCUAAAAGUCAACUAUAGACUCCUAUAAUAUCAAAGUAGCAUCUAUGAAGCUUCCAAGAAGUUUCUCAAGAAGAUAUUACACAAUUAAC